RNAcentral lists this long non-coding RNA (416 nucleotides) under Homo sapiens (human). RNAcentral's name for it is "non-protein coding lnc-MPHOSPH8-9:4". The record is from RNAcentral. Lineage: Eukaryota; Metazoa; Chordata; Mammalia; Primates; Hominidae.
AAUCCGCUGAAGGGCAAGUUCCCGCUCUUCUACAGCUGUGGGCCGACUGCCUGAUUUUGGCCACUAGGUGGAGUAUGGCUCUAGGGUUUCGAGGCCGCUGGUGUCGGCGGGCGGAGUCCGGGUUUGCAGCCGCUGUCCCACAGGCCCACCAUGGUCUGACUAAAUGCUGGCACUGCUCAUACAUCCACUUUUAAAAAUUGAGUUGAACAUGAGAACAUGAUCAUUCAUAUUUUAUCCACUUGCAUGUAUUCAAUAACAUCCUUUCCCUGUUCUCGUCUCUGCUUUACCGCCUUUUUCUUUAAAGAAUGAAUGUUUCCAUGUUUUAUAUCCACAGAAUUUCUGGUUUUUCCCUUUGGAGCCCAAGAAGCAAGGGCAGAAUGAGGAACAUGAUGUUUCUUACAGACAGUUACUCAUGA